This 468-nucleotide ribosomal RNA is filed under the name uncultured bacterium. RNAcentral's name for it is "partial 16S ribosomal RNA". It matches the Rfam family "Bacterial small subunit ribosomal RNA", at positions 28 to 507 of the family's 1533-position model. The record is from RNAcentral.
GACGAACGCUGGCGGCGUGCCUAACACAUGCAAGUCGAACGGACAGGCCCGGCUCUUGCGGCGCGCACGUGAGCGGAGCAGGUGAGAAAAACACGAGUAAAACCUCCUUGUCAUACGGAUAUCACCUCGGGAAAGGGGAUCAAAUCGGGUAUAAUAUUCUGAUCCACGGGGUUCGAAGGAAAAAGUCGGCGGUGGGGGAUGGACUCGCGGCUUAUCAGCUUGUUGGUGUGGUAGGGGCUGACCAAGGCUUUGACGGGUAGGCGGCCUGAGAGGGUGACCGGCCACAUUGGGACUGAGAGACGGCCCAGACUCCUACGGGAGGCAGCAGUGGGGAAUAUUGCACAAUGGGCGGAAGCCUGAUGCAGCAACGCCGCGUGCGGGAUGACGGCCUUCGGGUUGUAAACCGCUUUCGCCUGUGACGAAGCGUGAGUGACGGUAAUGGGUAAAGAAGCACCGGCUAACUACGUG